ACGCUCGACACCUACGGGGGGCAGCAGUGGGGAAUAUUGCACAAUGGGGGAAACCCGUGAUGCAGCGACGCCGCGUGGAGGAAGAAGGUCUUCGGAUUGUAAACUCCUGUUGUUGGGGAAAAAGAGGAUGGCACCCAACAAGGAAGUGACGGCUAACUACGUGCCAACAGCCGCGGUAAUCUGAGCGGGCUGGCAAGGC
This 199-nucleotide ribosomal RNA is filed under the name uncultured bacterium. RNAcentral's name for it is "partial 16S ribosomal RNA". It matches the Rfam family "Bacterial small subunit ribosomal RNA", at positions 328 to 539 of the family's 1533-position model. The record is from RNAcentral.